AACGAACGCUGGCGGCAUGCCUAACACAUGCAAGUCGAACGAGACCUUCGGGUCUAGUGGCGCACGGGUGCGUAACGCGUGGGAACCUGCCCUUAGGGUCGGAAUAACUCCCCGAAAGGGGUGCUAAUACCGGAUAAUGUCUUCGGACCAAAGAUUUAUCGCCCUUGGAUGGGCCCGCGUUGGAUUAGCUAGUUGUUAGGGUAAAAGCCUACCAAGGCGACGAUCCAUAGCUGGUAUGAGAGGCAGAUCAGCGACACUGGGACUGAGACACGGCCCAGACUCCUACGGGAGGCAGCAGUGGGGAAUAGUGGACCAUGGGCGAAAGCCUGAUCCAGCUAUGCUGCGUGAGUGAUGAAGGCCUUAGGGUUGUAAAGCUCUUUUACCCGGGAUGAUAAUGACAGUACCGGGAGAAUAAGCUCCGGCUAACUCCGUG
This 433-nucleotide ribosomal RNA is filed under the name uncultured bacterium. Its description in RNAcentral is "partial 16S ribosomal RNA". It matches the Rfam family "Bacterial small subunit ribosomal RNA", at positions 29 to 507 of the family's 1533-position model. The record is from RNAcentral.